This 801-nucleotide ribosomal RNA is filed under the name uncultured bacterium. RNAcentral describes it as "bacterial SSU rRNA". It matches the Rfam family "Bacterial small subunit ribosomal RNA", at positions 8 to 796 of the family's 1533-position model. The record is from RNAcentral.
AGAGUUUGAUCCUGGCUCAGAGUGAACGCUGGCGGCAGGCCUAAUACAUGCAAGUCGAACGGCAGCACAGCUUAAGCUUGCUUAAGUGGGUGGCGAGUGGCGGACGGGUGAGGAAUACAUGGGAAUCUGCCCAGUCGUGGGGGAUAACGUAUGGAAACGUACGCUAAUACCGCAUGCGCCCUUCGGGGGAAAGCCGGGGACCUUCGGGCCUGGCGCGAUUGGAUGAGCCCAUGUCGGAUUAGCUAGUUGGUGGGGUAAAGGCCCACCAAGGCGACGAUCCGUAGCUGGUCUGAGAGGAUGAUCAGUCACACUGGAACUGAGACACGGUCCAGACUCCUACGGGAGGCAGCAGUAGGGAAUAUUGGACAAUGGGCGCAAGCCUGAUCCAGCCAUGCCGCGUGAGUGAAGAAGGCCUUCGGGUUGUAAAGCUCUUUUGUCCGGAAAGAAAAGCACUGGGUUAAUACCCUGGUGUCCUGACGGUACCGGAAGAAUAAGCACCGGCUAACUUCGUGCCAGCAGCCGCGGUAAUACGAAGGGUGCAAGCGUUACUCGGAAUUACUGGGCGUAAAGCGUGCGUAGGUGGUUCGUUAAGUCUGAUGUGAAAGCCCUGGGCUCAACCUGGGAAUUGCAUUGGAUACUGGCGGGCUAGAGUGCGGUAGAGGGUAGUGGAAUUCCCGGUGUAGCAGUGAAAUGCGUAGAGAUCGGGAGGAACAUCUGUGGCGAAGGCGACUACCUGGACCAGCACUGACACUGAGGCACGAAAGCGUGGGGAGCAAACAGGAUUAGAUACCCUGGUAGUCC